GGUGACCCCAUCACUCAAUUCCUCAAAACAACCAUGAUAAUUACCAGACACAUAAAUGUUAACAAUAGCUUGUAUUCUCUUCCAUACCCUUUCUAUUCCUUUCUCUUCCUUCCACCACCAUGCUUCUCCUGUUUCUGUUCUUUCUCUUCUUCUUCAAUGUCAACCCUGCAUUUUCUGCUCACUGCACCACCAUCACAUCCUCUAAAACCUUUGAAAGAUGCAUGACGCUUCCUACCCAGCAAGCCUCAAUGGCUUGGACCUUUCAUACCCACAAUUCCACUCUAGACCUUGUUUUCUUUGGGACCUUUAUUUCGCCUUCUGGAUGGGUUGGAUGGGGUAUUAAUCCUACAUCUUCAGAUAUGAUAGGUACCCGUGCUCUAAUCGCCUUUCCAGACCCAAAUUCUGGCCAACUAGUAGUAUUACCUUACAUUUUGGACCCAACUGUAAAGCUGCAAAAAUCACCACUUCUCUCUCGCCCUCUAGAUAUUAACCUCCUCUCCUCCUCCGCCACCCUCUACGGUGGCAAAAUGGCCACCAUACACAACGGUGCGGCAAUCCAAAUAUAUGCAACAUUAAAAGUGGCGCCGAAUAAAACCAAAAUUCACUUUGUAUGGAACCGUGGUUUAUAUGUUCAAGGUUACUCCCCAACCAUCCAUCCAACAACUUCCAAUGACCUAUCUUCCAUGGCCACCAUUGACGUCUUGUCAGGCUUCAAUUCUGCCCAUAAAGACGACAGAAAAACAUUGAAAAUAGUACAUGGAAUCAUAAACGCUGUGUCAUGGGGUAUUUUACUGCCAAUUGGGGCUGUCACUGCCCGAUAUUUGCGACACAUACAAGCACUAGGGCCGGCUUGGUUCUAUGCUCAUGCAGGAUUACAACUAAGUGGAUUCUUUUUAGGAACUGUGGGAUUUGCUAUAGGAAUCAGGCUUGGAGAACUAUCACCAGGAGUUGUUUAUAGCCUGCAUAGGAAGCUUGGGUUCGCAACGUUCUGCUUGGGGGCUCUACAAACGCUGGCACUACUGUUUAG
Molecule: unclassified non-coding RNA, 1027 nt
Filed under: Hevea brasiliensis (rubber tree)
Lineage: Eukaryota; Viridiplantae; Streptophyta; Magnoliopsida; Malpighiales; Euphorbiaceae
Source: RNAcentral